ACAGGGAUUGCCCUAGUAACGGCGAGUGAAGCGGCAACAGCUCAAAUUUGAAAUCUGGCGUCUUUGGCGUCCGAGUUGUAAUUUGCAGAGGGCGCUUUGGCAUUGGCAGCGGUCCAAGUUCCUUGGAACAGGACGUCACAGAGGGUGAGAAUCCCGUACGUGGUCGCUAGCCUUUACCGUGUAAAGCCCCUUCGACGAGUCGAGUUGUUUGGGAAUGCAGCUCUAAAUGGGAGGUAAAUUUCUUCUAAAGCUAAAUACUGGCCAGAGACCGAUAGCGCACAAGUAGAGUGAUCGAAAGAUGAAAAGCACUUUGGAAAGAGAGUUAAAAAGCACGUGAAAUUGUUGAAAGGGAAGCGCUUGCAGCCAGACUUGCCUGUAGUUGCUCAUCCGGGUUUUUACCCGGUGCACUCUUCUAUAGGCAGGCCAGCAUCAGUUUGGGCGGUUGGAUAAAGGUCUCUGUCACGUACCUCCUUUCGGGGAGAACUUAUAGGGGAGACGUAAUGCAACCAGCCUGGACUGAGGUCCGCGCAUCUGCUAGGAUGCUGGCGUAAUGGCUGUAAGCGGCCCGUCUUGAAACACGGACCAAGGAGUCUAACAUCUAUGCGAGUGUUUGGGUGUCAAGCCCGAGCGCGUAAUGAAAGUGAACGGAGGUGGGAACCUUUCGGGGUGCACCAUCGACCGAUCCUGAUGUCUUCGGAUGGAUUUGAGUAAGAGCAUAGCUGUUGGGACCCGAAAGAUGGUGAACUAUGCUUGAAUAGGGUGAAGCCAGAGGAAACUCUGGUGGAGGCUCGCAGCGGUUCUGACGUGCAAAUCGAUCGUCAAAUUUGGGCAUAGGGGCGAAAGACUAAUCGAACUAUCUAGUAGCUGGUUCCUGCCGAAGUUUCCCUCAGGAUAGCAGUAACGUUUUCAGUUUUAUGAGGUAAAGCGAAUGAUUAGAGGCCUGGGGGUUGAAACAACCUUCACCUAUUCUCAAACUUUAAAUAUGUAAGAAGUCCUUGUUACUUAAUUGAACGUGGACAGUUGAAUGUAUCGUUACUAGUGGGCCAUUUUUGGUAAGCAGAACUGGCGAUGCGGGAUGAACCGAACGCGGGGUUAAGGUGCCAGAAUAUACGCUCAUCAGACACCACAAAAGGUGUUAGUUCAUCUAGACAGCAGGACGGUGGCCAUGGAAGUCGGAAUCCGCUAAGGAGUGUGUAACAACUCACCUGCCGAAUGAACUAGCCCUGAAAAUGGAUGGCGCUCAAGCGUAUUACCCAUACCCCGCCGCUGGGGCAAGAUUUAAGCCCCAGCGAGUAGGCAGGCGUGGAGGUCCGUGACGAAGCCUUGG
RNAcentral lists this ribosomal RNA (1327 nucleotides) under Boeremia diversispora. RNAcentral describes it as "eukaryotic LSU rRNA". It matches the Rfam family "Eukaryotic large subunit ribosomal RNA", at positions 68 to 1414 of the family's 3401-position model. Lineage: Eukaryota; Fungi; Ascomycota; Dothideomycetes; Pleosporales; Didymellaceae. RNAcentral also lists the same sequence under 1 other name. The record is from RNAcentral.